GAGCCGGAAGGUCUGGGUGUCAUUUAUUGACAGCAGUUUAUACACAUUUGUUUCCUUCCCAGUGCAGGCAUAGAGCCCGUGAGAAGGGCAGUCUCUGAAUGAGGGGGCCAGGAACGUAGGUCGGACACGUCUUUGGCAGGCAUGUUCAGCCCCAGCAGGAUGCAAUCCUUCAAGUUGGAAUUCCACUGGGUAUCUGAGAGGGACCAAGGUGGGGGGUAGAGAGGAAGUCUUCAACAGGACUCACAUCUCGGUCCAGGCCUCCUCUCUCACUAUACAAGUCCAUCCAAGUUUUAGGACCCUGGGGGGCAACAGUCAGGCCCACCCACCUCAACAGGGGCAGAUUCUUCAAUCUGUGCCCAGUUCACACACACCUGUUUCCGCUGGUCACACAGUUAAAGAGAAUCAGACUUAUGGUAACAGACAGACCACUUCCUCUCUGCCCCUCCCCGGCACCUCUCUUCAGCAGCAUCUGCACAGGAACCGCUGGGAAGACGGAGGCCUGCCUUCUCAGUUCAGCCGCACAUGCCCUCAUCCGCAAACCUUCCAUCAGUGACAGGACGGAGGCCACACGUGGAUCUAGGCAGACACCUGUGCUCCCCAGUCCAUCACAUACUGCCCCGCCUGCGUGCUGCCAAAUGCUGGUGCCCAGGCCGGAACUCCAGCAGGCCCCGAAUUGGGACCUAAAGCUGGUUUGCAUAGGCACUUGGCAAUUUUUGGUAGGGAGGUGGAUAAAAAAGUAGAUGGAUGUGAGAAGAAUGAAAGAGUUUCAUUUGAUAGACUAAUUAGAGAUCUGAAGUGAUUUUACCUUUAUUUCCUUCACUUUAAGCCAAUCAUGAAAUUUCACAGUGAUUUCUGGGGUGGGAGCAGAAGGAAGGCUGUGUUAAGAAUCAUCGGGGCUGUGGCCCAGUCAGCCCGCGGAGGUGCAGGCAGGGCCAAACUUGCCAAUGGACUCAAACACUUUGGCAGCCAUGUUUCCUU
Molecule: long non-coding RNA, 978 nt
Filed under: Homo sapiens (human)
Lineage: Eukaryota; Metazoa; Chordata; Mammalia; Primates; Hominidae
Description: HSALNT0242164
Source: RNAcentral